UGUGAGCUCGAUGAGUAGGGCGGGACACGUGGUAUCCUGUCUGAAUAUGGGGGGACCAUCCUCCAAGGCUAAAUACUCCUGACUGACCGAUAGUGAACCAGUACCGUGAGGGAAAGGCGAAAAGAACCCCGGCGAGGGGAGUGAAAAAGAACCUGAAACCGUGUACGUACAAGCAGUGGGAGCCUCUUAAUGGGGUGACUGCGUACCUUUUGUAUAAUGGGUCAGCGACUUAUAUUCUGUAGCAAGGUUAACCGAAUAGGGGAGCCGAAGGGAAACCGAGUCUUAACUGGGCGUUAAGUUGCAGGGUAUAGACCCGAAACCCGGUGAUCUAGCCAUGGGCAGGUUGAAGGUUGGGUAACACUAACUGGAGGACCGAACCGACUAAUGUUGAAAAAUUAGCGGAUGACUUGUGGCUGGGGGUGAAAGGCCAAUCAAACCGGGAGAUAGCUGGUUCUCCCCGAAAGCUAUUUAGGUAGCGCCUCGUGAAUUCAUCUCCGGGGGUAGAGCACUGUUUCGGCAAGGGGGUCAUCCCGACUUACCAACCCGAUGCAAACUGCGAAUACCGGAGAAUGUUAUCACGGGAGACACACGGCGGGUGCUAACGUCCGUCGUGAAGAGGGAAACAACCCAGACCGCCAGCUAAGGUCCCAAAGUCAUGGUUAAGUGGGAAACGAUGUGGGAAGGCCCAGACAGCCAGGAUGUUGGCUUAGAAGCAGCCAUCAUUUAAAGAAAGCGUAAUAGCUCACUGGUCGAGUCGGCCUGCGCGGAAGAUGUAACGGGGCUAAACCAUGCACCGAAGCUGCGGCAGCGACGCUUAUGCGUUGUUGGGUAGGGGAGCGUUCUGUAAGCCUGUGAAGGUGUACUGUGAGGUAUGCUGGAGGUAUCAGAAGUGCGAAUGCUGACAUAAGUAACGAUAAAGCGGGUGAAAAGCCCGCUCGCCGGAAGACCAAGGGUUCCUGUCCAACGUUAAUCGGGGCAGGGUGAGUCGACCCCUAAGGCGAGGCCGAAAGGCGUAGUCGAUGGGAAACAGGUUAAUAUUCCUGUACUUGGUGUUACUGCGAAGGGGGGACGGAGAAGGCUAUGUUGGCCGGGCGACGGUUGUCCCGGUUUAAGCGUGUAGGCUGGUUUUCCAGGCAAAUCCGGAAAACCAAGGCUGAGGCGUGAUGACGAGGCACUACGGUGCUGAAGCAACAAAUGCCCUGCUUCCAGGAAAAGCCUCUAAGCAUCAGGUAACAUCAAAUCGUACCCCAAACCGACACAGGUGGUCAGGUAGAGAAUACCAAGGCGCUUGAGAGAACUCGGGUGAAGGAACUAGGCAAAAUGGUGCCGUAACUUCGGGAGAAGGCACGCUGAUAUGUAGGUGAAGCGACUUGCUCGUGGAGCUGAAAUCAGUCGAAGAUACCAGCUGGCUGCAACUGUUUAUUAAAAACACAGCACUGUGCAAACACGAAAGUGGACGUAUACGGUGUGACGCCUGCCCGGUGCCGGAAGGUUAAUUGAUGGGGUUAGCGGUAACGCGAAGCUCUUGAUCGAAGCCCCGGUAAACGGCGGCCGUAACUAUAACGGUCCUAAGGUAGCGAAAUUCCUUGUCGGGUAAGUUCCGACCUGCACGAAUGGCGUAAUGAUGGCCAGGCUGUCUCCACCCGAGACUCAGUGAAAUUGAACUCGCUGUGAAGAUGCAGUGUACCCGCGGCAAGACGGAAAGACCCCGUGAACCUUUACUAUAGCUUGACACUGAACAUUGAGCCUUGAUGUGUAGGAUAGGUGGGAGGCUUUGAAGUGUGGACGCCAGUCUGCAUGGAGCCGACCUUGAAAUACCACCCUUUAAUGUUUGAUGUUCUAACGUUGGCCCCUAAUCGGGGUUGCGGACAGUGUCUGGUGGGUAGUUUGACUGGGGCGGUCUCCUCCUAAAGAGUAACGGAGGAGCACGAAGGUUGGCUAAUCCUGGUCGGACAUCAGGAGGUUAGUGCAAUGGCAUAAGCCAGCUUGACUGCGAGCGUGACGGCGCGAGCAGGUGCGAAAGCAGGUCAUAGUGAUCCGGUGGUUCUGAAUGGAAGGGCCAUCGCUCAACGGAUAAAAGGUACUCCGGGGAUAACAGGCUGAUACCGCCCAAGAGUUCAUAUCGACGGCGGUGUUUGGCACCUCGAUGUCGGCUCAUCACAUCCUGGGGCUGAAGUAGGUCCCAAGGGUAUGGCUGUUCGCCAUUUAAAGUGGUACGCGAGCUGGGUUUAGAACGUCGUGAGACAGUUCGGUCCCUAUCUGCCGUGGGCGCUGGAGAACUGAGGGGGGCUGCUCCUAGUACGAGAGGACCGGAGUGGACGCAUCACUGGUGUUCGGGUUGUCAUGCCAAUGGCACUGCCCGGUAGCUAAAUGCGGAAGAGAUAAGUGCUGAAAGCAUCUAAGCACGAAACUUGCCCCGAGAUGAGUUCUCCCUGAGACUUAGAGUCUCCUGAAGGAACGUUGAAGACGACGACGUUGAUAGGCCGGGUGUGUAAGCGCAGCGAUGCGUUGAGCUAACCGGUACUAAUGAACCGUGAGGCUUAACCUU
This 2548-nucleotide ribosomal RNA is filed under the name Escherichia coli KTE165. RNAcentral's name for it is "bacterial LSU rRNA". It matches the Rfam family "Bacterial large subunit ribosomal RNA", at positions 398 to 2925 of the family's 2925-position model. The record is from RNAcentral. Lineage: Bacteria; Pseudomonadati; Pseudomonadota; Gammaproteobacteria; Enterobacterales; Enterobacteriaceae.